GAUGAACGCUAGCUACAGGCUUAACACAUGCAAGUCGAGGGGUAACGAGAGGAAAGCUUGCUUUCCUUGUCGACGACCGGCGCACGGGUGAGUAACGCGUAUCCAACCUGCCCCCAACUAGGGAAUAACCUUGCGAAAGUAAGACUAAUACUCUAUAAUUUCCUCAGAUGUUAUCUGACGAGGAAUAAAGAUUUAUCGGUUGUGGAUGGGGAUGCGUCUGAUUAGCUUGUUGGCGGGGUAACGGCCCACCAAGGCAACGAUCAGUAGGGGUUCUGGGAGGAAGGUCCCCCACAUGGGAACUGAGACACGGUCCAAACUCCUACGGGAGGCAGCAGUGAGGAAUAUUGGUCAAUGGGCGGAAGCCUGAACCAGCCAAGUAGCGUGCAGGAUGACGGCCCUAUGGGUUGUAAACUGCUUUUAUACAGGAAUAAAGUUAGCCACGUGUGGUUAUUUGUAGGUACUGUAUGAAUAAGGACCGGCUAAUUCCGUGCCAGCAGCCGCGGUAA
This 506-nucleotide ribosomal RNA is filed under the name uncultured bacterium. RNAcentral's name for it is "partial 16S ribosomal RNA". It matches the Rfam family "Bacterial small subunit ribosomal RNA", at positions 28 to 523 of the family's 1533-position model. The record is from RNAcentral.